UAGCUCAGCUGGAUAGAGUACCUGGCUACGAACCAGGCGGUCGGAGGUUCGAAUCCUCCCG
Molecule: transfer RNA, 61 nt
Filed under: Pseudoalteromonas lipolytica
Lineage: Bacteria; Pseudomonadati; Pseudomonadota; Gammaproteobacteria; Alteromonadales; Pseudoalteromonadaceae
Description: tRNA_Arg_ACG
Rfam family: tRNA
About the family: Transfer RNA (tRNA) molecules are approximately 80 nucleotides in length.
Source: RNAcentral